GAUAUCAACUGAAAAAGUCAUCAACAACAAAGUUGAAUAACUCAUCAAGAUCUAAAACUUUUAUUUUGGUCAUUUCUUCAUACGACAAAGUAAUAGUAACAUUGUUCAAAAAAUUGACAUAUCUAUUAUCUGGUUUUAUAAACUAUAACACAUAUAUGUAAAAUUUGUGAAUAAUAUUACUAACAUUUCGUCAGAUGAAGAAAUAACACAAAUAAAAGUUUUAGAUCUUGAUGAGUUAUUCAACUUUGUUGUUGAUGAAUUUUUCAAUUGAAAUC
Molecule: non-coding RNA, 275 nt
Organism: Oryza glumipatula
Lineage: Eukaryota; Viridiplantae; Streptophyta; Magnoliopsida; Poales; Poaceae
Source: Rfam